UUAAAAAUUGCCGGCUGAAGAGAAGGC
This 27-nucleotide non-coding RNA is filed under the name Mus musculus (house mouse). Lineage: Eukaryota; Metazoa; Chordata; Mammalia; Rodentia; Muridae. The record is from RNAcentral.